UUUUUUUUUUUUUUUGAGACGGAGUCUCACUCUGUCACCCAGGCUAGAGUGCAGUGGUGCAAUCUCACCUCACUGGAAGCUCUGCCUCCCUGGUUCACACCAUUCUCCUGCCUCAGCCUCCCGAGUAGCUGGGAUUACAGGUGCCCGCCACCACACCCGGCUAAUUUUUGUAUAUUUUUAGUAGAGACAGGGUUUCACCAUGUUAGCUGGGAUGGUCUCGAAUUCUGACCUCAGGUGAUCCACCCGCCUUAGCCUCCCAAAGUGCUGGGAUUACAGGUGUGAGCCACCGCACCUGGUCUGUAAGAAGUCUUAAUGGUCUUAAAUAUCGAUUGCCUUAACACACAGCAGUCCCUUUCUCUUCCGACGUUUAAAUAAGCCUUCCCAAUUAUGGUUAAAAAAAUGGUAAUGUCAUUUAUUUCAUAAUUAGAAGUGUAAUAAUAAAGUAGAUCUACAAAUUUGUUCUUAAAAAUAUUUCAAAUAAUGAUCAAAGGCAGGGAAAUUAAUUUUGAUCAUUUAUUAUUUUAAUAAUUUUAAGUCCCUAAAUGAUUACAAUCAAUUGAAGGCCCCCAGAGGUAGUAACCAUGGGCAAAGUCUGACACAGGAAAUAGAACUCUUUGCUUCUGACAUCAUACAUGACACCUUUAGCUACUUGUGAACACUGCCACAAGAGAGACCUCAGGGACACAACCUUCAAAGCUGAGAAGUGUAAGGGGGAGAAUUAGAGAGCAGCUGGAGUGCAAAGUAUAUCAGCAAAUACUACAGGAGGAGGAGUGCAUGUGUCCUGAAUACAAAAUGAGGAAGCAGGGGCAAAGAGGGAAUGAGUACAUGAAUCAGUCUCAUACAGCUUGUAAAUGGUGGGACCAAGAUUGAGACAGCCUGAUUCCAGUGUCCAUGCACUUAACUACUAUGCGUGAUUAAACAUUAAUUUAAGUAUUAAUUAAUUAUUAAACAAAAAAACAAAGCAAAA
RNAcentral lists this long non-coding RNA (967 nucleotides) under Homo sapiens (human). RNAcentral describes it as "non-protein coding lnc-ATP6V1D-8:10". The record is from RNAcentral. Lineage: Eukaryota; Metazoa; Chordata; Mammalia; Primates; Hominidae.